RNAcentral lists this ribosomal RNA (254 nucleotides) under uncultured bacterium. Its description in RNAcentral is "partial 16S ribosomal RNA". It matches the Rfam family "Bacterial small subunit ribosomal RNA", at positions 524 to 776 of the family's 1533-position model. The record is from RNAcentral.
GACGUAGGGCGCGAGCGUUGUCCGGAUUUAUUGGGCGUAAAGAGCUCGUAGGCGGUGUGUCACGUCGGCCGUGAAAACCUGCAGCUUAACUGUGGGCGUGCGGUCGAUACGGGCAUCACUGGAGUUCGGCAGGGGAGACUGGAAUUCCUGGUGUAGCGGUGAAAUGCGCAGAUAUCAGGAAGAACACCAACGGCGAAGGCAGCUCGCUGGGACGGUACUGACGCUGAGACGCGAAAGCGUGGGGAGCGAACAGG